Molecule: non-coding RNA, 73 nt
Organism: Trichonephila clavata
Lineage: Eukaryota; Metazoa; Arthropoda; Arachnida; Araneae; Nephilidae
Source: the annotation of a GenBank genome assembly
GUCCCUGUAGCGUAGUGGAGAGUGCGUUGGACUUCUAAUCCAAAGGUCGUGGGUUCAAAACCCACCAGUGAUG